UGGAUACACUUAGUGGCGGACGGGUGAGUAACGCGUGGGUACCUGCCUCACACUGGGGGAUAACAGUUAGAAAUAGCUGCUAAUACCGCAUAAGUCCGCAUGGAAAAAACUCCGGUGGUGUGAGAUGGACCCGCGUCUGAUUAGCCAGUUGGCGGGGUAACGGCCCACCAAAGCGACGAUCAGUAGCCGGCCUGAGAGGGUGAACGGCCACAUUGGGACUGAGACACGGCCCAAACUCCUACGGGAGGCAGCAGUGGGGAAUAUUGCACAAUGGGGGAAACCCUGAUGCAGCGACGCCGCGUGAGUGAAGAAGUAUUUCGGUAUGUAAAGCUCUAUCAGCAGGGAAGAAGUGACGGUACCUGAAUAAGAAGCCCCGGCUAACUACGUGCCAGCAGCCGCGGUAAUACGUAGGGGGCAAGCGUUAUCCGGAUUUACUGGGUGUAAAGGGAGCGUAGACGGCAAGGCAAGUCUGAAGUGAAAGCCCGGUGCUUAACGCCGGGACUGCUUUGGAAACUGUUUAGCUGGAGUGCCGGAGAGGUAAGCGGAAUUCCUAGUGUAGCGGUGAAAUGCGUAGAUAUUAGGAAGAACACCAGUGGCGAAGGCGGCUUACUGGACGGUAACUGACGUUGAGGCUCGAAAGCGU
Molecule: ribosomal RNA, 643 nt
Filed under: uncultured bacterium
Lineage: Bacteria
Description: bacterial SSU rRNA
Rfam family: Bacterial small subunit ribosomal RNA
Source: RNAcentral